Molecule: ribosomal RNA, 457 nt
Filed under: Salmonella enterica
Lineage: Bacteria; Pseudomonadati; Pseudomonadota; Gammaproteobacteria; Enterobacterales; Enterobacteriaceae
Description: bacterial SSU rRNA
Rfam family: Bacterial small subunit ribosomal RNA
Source: RNAcentral
AAAUUGAAGAGUUUGAUCAUGGCUCAGAUUGAACGCUGGCGGCAGGCCUAACACAUGCAAGUCGAACGGUAGCACAGAGAGCUUGCUCUCGGGUGACGAGUGGCGGACGGGUGAGUAAUGUCUGGGAAACUGCCUGAUGGAGGGGGAUAACUACUGGAAACGGUGGCUAAUACCGCAUAACGUCGCAAGACCAAAGAGGGGGACCUUCGGGCCUCUUGCCAUCAGAUGUGCCCAGAUGGGAUUAGCUUGUUGGUGAGGUAAUGGCUCACCAAGGCGACGAUCCCUAGCUGGUCUGAGAGGAUGACCAGCCACACUGGAACUGAGACACGGUCCAGACUCCUACGGGAGGCAGCAGUGGGGAAUAUUGCACAAUGGGCGCAAGCCUGAUGCAGCCAUGCCGCGUGUAUGAAGAAGGCCUUCGGGUUGUAAAGUACUUUCAGCGGGGAGGAAGGUGUUG